ACCAGGCAGCGUAUCGCCCAGCCUCCAGAGGCAGUAAACACCACGUGCACACUGAGUUUCAAAUGCCCACGUGUUCGUUUUCCUCUUCGUGACAGAAUUCCUGACUUAAACAACCCGAAAGGAAAACUUAUUUUAAUUUCCGUUUCAUUGGUUGCAGACCAAAUUCAGCUGGAUACUUUGAGCUGAGGCUGAGGAGCACAAGCGCCACGGUGGAGGAAGGAUACCUUCUCUUCUGAUUCCUUCUCUGUUGGGUAUGCCAAAGUGAAAGAAGGACAAUAGAGCCAUCUGGUCUACCUGCCUCACGUACCUUGGACUCCUGCAUGAUUUGUGGCAAAGUCUUGGUCUAACUAGUUGAUGAACUAUAUGCACAGGUUUUGACACUGAAACUAAGAAGAGACUUGCUUAAGGUUUUGGCAAAAGAGUCUGGAAGUUCCAGAGGACCUGGUUUGAUU
RNAcentral lists this small RNA (452 nucleotides) under Rattus norvegicus (Norway rat). RNAcentral's name for it is "uncharacterized LOC102551260". Lineage: Eukaryota; Metazoa; Chordata; Mammalia; Rodentia; Muridae. The record is from RNAcentral.